Molecule: transfer RNA, 77 nt
Filed under: Rhodopseudomonas palustris
Lineage: Bacteria; Pseudomonadati; Pseudomonadota; Alphaproteobacteria; Hyphomicrobiales; Nitrobacteraceae
Also listed under: 28 other names
Description: tRNA-Arg
Rfam family: tRNA
About the family: Transfer RNA (tRNA) molecules are approximately 80 nucleotides in length. Their secondary structure includes four short double-helical elements and three loops (D, anti-codon, and T loops).
Source: RNAcentral
GCACCCGUAGCUCAGCUGGAUAGAGCGUUGCCCUCCGAAGGCAGAGGUCACAGGUUCGAAUCCUGUCGGGUGCGCCA